GCCGGGCUCGCGGGCGGCGCCGCCGCCCGUGAGGCGGGCGCGGCCGGCGGCGGACGUCUCGCCGGUCCGCCU
RNAcentral lists this transfer RNA (72 nucleotides) under Streptomyces camponoticapitis. RNAcentral describes it as "tRNA-Leu". Lineage: Bacteria; Bacillati; Actinomycetota; Actinomycetes; Kitasatosporales; Streptomycetaceae. The record is from RNAcentral.